This 689-nucleotide ribosomal RNA is filed under the name Arthrobacter sp. Its description in RNAcentral is "bacterial SSU rRNA". It matches the Rfam family "Bacterial small subunit ribosomal RNA", at positions 323 to 1015 of the family's 1533-position model. The record is from RNAcentral. Lineage: Bacteria; Bacillati; Actinomycetota; Actinomycetes; Micrococcales; Micrococcaceae.
AACACCCAGCACCACCCUACUCCUACGGGAGGCAGCAGUGGGGAAUAUUGCACAAUGGGCGCAAGCCUGAUGCAGCGACGCCGCGUGAGGGAUGACGGCCUUCGGGUUGUAAACCUCUUUCAGUAGGGAAGAAGCGAAAGUGACGGUACCUGCAGAAGAAGCGCCGGCUAACUACGUGCCAGCAGCCGCGGUAAUACGUAGGGCGCAAGCGUUAUCCGGAAUUAUUGGGCGUAAAGAGCUCGUAGGCGGUUUGUCGCGUCUGCCGUGAAAGUCCGGGGCUCAACUCCGGAUCUGCGGUGGGUACGGGCAGACUAGAGUGAUGUAGGGGAGACUGGAAUUCCUGGUGUAGCGGUGAAAUGCGCAGAUAUCAGGAGGAACACCGAUGGCGAAGGCAGGUCUCUGGGCAUUAACUGACGCUGAGGAGCGAAAGCAUGGGGAGCGAACAGGAUUAGAUACCCUGGUAGUCCAUGCCGUAAACGUUGGGCACUAGGUGUGGGGGACAUUCCACGUUUUCCGCGCCGUAGCUAACGCAUUAAGUGCCCCGCCUGGGGAGUACGGCCGCAAGGCUAAAACUCAAAGGAAUUGACGGGGGCCCGCACAAGCGGCGGAGCAUGCGGAUUAAUUCGAUGCAACGCGAAGAACCUUACCAAGGCUUGACAUGAACCGGAAAGACCCUGAAACCAGUCCCC